GGGAUGCAAUUGGUGCAGACGGUCCCUGCUUCGGGGGGGGAGGCCGGCGGAGGGUGCCCUGGGCAGGCUGCGCGGGGGCUGUCGCUGGCGGGGAGGCGAUGGGGGAAGCCCCCAGGAGCCCCGGUGGGAAAUGAGGCUGCGUGUCACCCCUGCACGCUCCCGCCAUCCCUCCUUCCCUCCCUCCUUCCCUCCCGGCUUCCCUCCUUCCCUCCCGCCCCGCGCCUGUCGUCUCUCGCUGUCGCCCUCCCCUCCCGGAGCGGGGUCGCUUCUCCCUGGCACUGCCAGGCUGGGAAAGGAGCCCAACUCAUCCCGGCCGGCCCCGGCUGAUGCCGGAGGGAGCAGCCUCACCCCGUCGCCGUGUGGCCGUGGAAGGAGGGCAGCGCUGCUCCAGACUCGGCACCUUGUUCCUGGGUGGUGAGGGGCUCCCGGCAAGGCAGAUCGGCUGCCCCUGCCAUGCCCCACUUCUUGGAUUGGUUUGUGCCAGUGUAUCUGAUGAUCUCUAUCCUCAUCCUGGUGGGCUUUGGAGCUUGCAUUUACUACUUUGAGCCAGGACUCCAGGAAGCCCAUAAGUGGCGAACUCAGAGGCCGAUCAUGGAACGAGACCUUCGAAAGACACUGAUGAUUCGGGACAACCUAGCUUUUGGGGUGCCCGAGGUCUGACACGCUGCCCGUCCAGUCCAGAAGAGCCUCUCCUGCGUGGACAGCAGUCUGCAAGCCUCGGUAGGGAUGACAGUUCGGCCUUGUGCAAGCUGGGCUGAUAGUAGCUUUGCUCUUUGCUGAUCUGGGUCUUGUACUCACCACUCACCUUUCUGCCCCUUUGCUUCUUAGGCGAGGCUUGUGUGGCACUGUAGACUCAGGGCUUCCCACACGCUCACAGCCCUUCACCCAACCAAUGAUUUCUGCUCCUUCCCAUGGCCAAGAUUGAUGAAUUACCCAAAUGAAAGGUCCCUUGUUAAUCACACCUUCUCCUUCCCUGCCAGCCCAGUGCAGUGCCCAGUGUGUAUGGGCAGGUUUGGGAGAGCUCUCAACCUGUGGCAGCAGGUUGUCUCAAGAGCCUCUCCUCACGUCUCCUCCCACCCCAACACCCACCCUUUGGAUGCAGUAGGAGCAGCAGUGAGUGCCCUGGGCAUGCAGGGUCGUGUGUACCCCACUCCUGAUGUCCCAGGGGAUGUCAGAUGGUGCCACCACCCCAUGUGCGUGUGUCUGCACAUCCCAUGCCGUCACAUGGACCUGCCAGUAUCAGAGCGACCCACAUCCCCAGGGUGCUGUCUCUGUGCUGUAGUCCCCAAGGGCUGCUUUGGGCAGCAGGAGACCAUAGAGCGAGCUGCCCAAAUCUGCCACAGGUCCUGGAUGGGCUCAUGUCAGUCAGUCUCUCCUGUGAACCUGUCAAUGGAAGCUUUCUCCUCUAUUCCCAAAGAAAGGAGGAGAGUGCUCAGGGCUGGUUUGUGUGAGUGACGCUCCAUUGGUAAUUCUCUGGGGAUGAAAGUUAAUUUUCAGCUCUGAGGGUUCUGGCUGAGGAAGGAAUGGGUCAGAACAUCCUGCAAAUAUCCUGGGUCUUUCUGGGACAUUUCAUCCCUCAUUCAGUCUUUACAUUCAGGCAAAAACCAGAGAUGUGAGUACCCUAACCGGGGAGUCUUGUUCAGCAGGGAGAUGCAGUGAGUGGGAUUACUCCUGUGACCAAAGUUAUGUUUGCCCUGGCAAGCAAAUGCUCAAAGCGCAGGUGCAGCCUGAAACAGGUAAAUCCCAUGUAUUUUUGUGCCUUGGUGACUUGGGCUGCGAAAGGGAAAUGCUGUGGAGCUGGGCUGCAUGGUCUGCAUUGCUCACAUCCCUGCCCUCUGGCACAACACAGCCAUCUCUUCAAGCGCCAGCUUGGAAACCUUCUUCCUCACCUUCACUCCCCUGUAGCUGGGGCUGCACUGUGAAUGGACCUCAGCUGAGCCAUGGUGUAGCAAUAAAACCCUCUGUACUGGAGCUGAGGGGCUUGGAGCCAUCAGGGACAGGUUAAACUGUCGCUGUGGGAAGGGGGGUCUGGUCUCCGGGGCCUGCACCAGUGCAGGCUGCUCUGCCAUCGCACCUCCUCCAAACCCACUUUUGCCUGCUGAGUCGAAAGAGAAGAGGGAAAGCCACAAGCCUGGUAAAACCGAAGGGCUGGGUCUGCCACUGCUGCCCUCGGCUGGCUGGCAUGCGUGGUGUGAUGGGGCUCCCAUGUGCCCUCUCUGUGCCCUCCCUAUGCCUUCCUCUGUGCACCGUCCUGCCUGUUCUCACCUCUGCUCUGCUCACGACUCGCUAUAGAAACCAAGCAAAAAGAAGACAAUAAACACGUCAGGGCUGCACUAGAGAGAAACUAGUUGUUCAUCUCCUCUGGCUUGUUUCGUGCUGUUUAGUCCUGAUGCAAUCAGUAUUAAGCCAGGUAUUUUCCAUGGGUAUGAAGGACUUUAUUGCUGGCAGUGUCAAAGCCCUCCCCAGGGGAAUAAAAUUGUGUGGCAA
Long non-coding RNA from Strigops habroptila (Kakapo), 2487 nucleotides. RefSeq lists it as uncharacterized. The transcript has 3 exons. The record is from RefSeq and is a predicted model, not a curated record. NCBI's taxonomy places the organism in Eukaryota, Metazoa, Chordata, Aves, Psittaciformes, Psittacidae.